RNAcentral lists this ribosomal RNA (278 nucleotides) under uncultured bacterium. RNAcentral's name for it is "partial 16S ribosomal RNA". It matches the Rfam family "Bacterial small subunit ribosomal RNA", at positions 506 to 784 of the family's 1533-position model. The record is from RNAcentral.
UGCCAGCCGCCGCGGUAAUACGGAGGGUGCAAGCGUUAUCCGGAAUCACUGGGCGUAAAGGGAGCGUAGGCGGUUUUGCAAGUCAGACGUGAAAGGCUACGGCUCAACCGUAGUAAGCUUUUGAAACUGCAAGACUAGAGUGCAGGAGAGGCAAGUGGAAUUCCUAGUGUAGAGGUGAAAUUCGUAGAUAUUAGGAGGAACACCAGUGGCGAAGGCGGCUAACUGGACUGAUACUGACGCUGAGAUGGCAAAGUGCGUGGAUCAAACCGGAUUAGAUA